CAGCCGCCCGGUAAUACGAAGGGUGCAAGCGUUAAUCGGAAUUACUGGGCGUAAAGCGUGCGUAGGCGGUUUGUCAAGUCUGCUGUGAAAUCCCCGGGCUCAACCUGGGAAUGGCAGUGGAUACUGGCAAGCUAGAGUGUGUCAGAGGAUGGUGGAAUUCCCGGUGGAGCGGUGGAAUGCGUUGAGAUCGGAAAGAACACCAACGGCGAAAGCACUCUGCUGGGCCGACACUGACACUGAGAGACGAAAGCUAGGGGAGCAAAUGGGAUUAGAUACCCGUGUAGUCCCUGUCUCUUAUACA
RNAcentral lists this ribosomal RNA (301 nucleotides) under uncultured bacterium. RNAcentral's name for it is "partial 16S ribosomal RNA". It matches the Rfam family "Bacterial small subunit ribosomal RNA", at positions 512 to 808 of the family's 1533-position model. The record is from RNAcentral.